Molecule: ribosomal RNA, 499 nt
Filed under: uncultured Glomeromycotina
Lineage: Eukaryota; Fungi; Glomeromycota
Description: partial small subunit ribosomal RNA
Rfam family: Eukaryotic small subunit ribosomal RNA
Source: RNAcentral
CCAAUAGCGUAUAUUAAAGUUGUUGCAGUUAAAAAGCUCGUAGUUGAAUUUCGGGAUCAGUAUGUUGGUCGUGCUUCGGUACGUACUGUCAUUACUGGUUUCUCCCUUCUGAAGAACCUUGAUGUCAUUAAUUUGGUGUCUUGGGGAAUCAGGACUGUUACUUUGAAAAAAUUAGAGUGUUUAAAGCAGGCAUACGCUUGAAUACAUUAGCAUGGAAUAAUGAAAUAGGACGUUUGAUUCUAUUUUGUUGGUUUCUAGGAUCGACGUAAUGAUUAAUAGGGAUAGUUGGGGGCAUUAGUAUUCAAUUGUCAGAGGUGAAAUUCUUGGAUUUAUUGAAGACUAACUCCUGCGAAAGCAUUUGCCAAGGAUGUUUUCAUUAAUCAAGAACGAAAGUUAGGGGAUCGAAGACGAUCAGAUACCGUCGUAGUCUUAACCAUAAACUAUGCCGACUAGGGAUCGGAUGAUGUUAAUUUUUUAAUGACUCAUUCGGCGCCUUACG